RNAcentral lists this transfer RNA (87 nucleotides) under Cordylochernes scorpioides. RNAcentral's name for it is "tRNA-Tyr". Lineage: Eukaryota; Metazoa; Arthropoda; Arachnida; Pseudoscorpiones; Chernetidae. The record is from RNAcentral.
UCCCUCUAGCCGGAUUUCAACCCGCGACCUAAGGAUCACCGUUGUAACAUCUACAGUCCUCCGCUCUGCCAACUGAGCUAUCGAGGG